AUUGAACGCUGGCGGCAUGCUUUACACAUGCAAGUCGAACGGUAACAGGCCGCAAGGUGCUGACGAGUGGCGAACGGGUGAGUAACGCAUCGGAACGUGCCCAGUCGUGGGGGAUAACGCAGCGAAAGCUGUGCUAAUACCGCAUACGAUCUGUGGAUGAAAGCGGGGGACCGUAAGGCCUCGCGCGAUUGGAGCGGCCGAUGUCAGAUUAGGUAGUUGGUGGGGUAAAGGCUCACCAAGCCGACGACCUGUAGCUGGUCUGAGAGGACGACCAGCCACACUGGGACUGAGACGCGGCCCAGACUCCUACGGGAGGCAGCAGUGGGGAAUUUUGGACAAUGGGCGCAAGCCUGAUCCAGCAAUGCCGCGUGCAGGAAGAAGGCCUUCGGGUUGUAAACUGCUUUUGUACGGAGCGAAAAGGCUCCCUCUAAUACAGGGGGCUCAUGACGGUACCGUAAGAAUAAGCACCGGCUAACUACGUGCCAGCAGCCGCGGUAA
Molecule: ribosomal RNA, 498 nt
Filed under: uncultured bacterium
Lineage: Bacteria
Description: partial 16S ribosomal RNA
Rfam family: Bacterial small subunit ribosomal RNA
Source: RNAcentral